GGGUAUAGCUCAGUGGUAGAGUGCUUGCCUAGCAGGCAUGAGGUCCUGGGUUCAGUCCCCAGUACUACCA
RNAcentral lists this transfer RNA (70 nucleotides) under Camelus bactrianus (Bactrian camel). It matches the Rfam family "tRNA". From Rfam's summary of the family: Transfer RNA (tRNA) molecules are approximately 80 nucleotides in length. Their secondary structure includes four short double-helical elements and three loops (D, anti-codon, and T loops). RNAcentral also lists the same sequence under 1 other name. The record is from Rfam by way of RNAcentral. Lineage: Eukaryota; Metazoa; Chordata; Mammalia; Artiodactyla; Camelidae.